Long non-coding RNA from Mercenaria mercenaria, 1074 nucleotides. RefSeq lists it as uncharacterized. NCBI's taxonomy places the organism in Eukaryota, Metazoa, Mollusca, Bivalvia, Venerida, Veneridae. The transcript has 4 exons. The record is from RefSeq and is a predicted model, not a curated record.
CAAGAUUAGUUCAAUACAAGUCAUUUUUAAUGAUUUCAGCUUCAACAGCAUGACCACGGUUAUGCUGGAACUAGAAAAAGCAUUGUACAAAAUACCAAAAAGUUUGGCUGUACCUCAGUCAUUAAAUGUAGGAAGAUUGUGAAGUUUCCAGAUUAUAAGUGAACGACCAGACCAUGUAAGGCUUCAUGGCUUCAUCAAAUAUCCCAUAGAAUAGGCACAACAGCAGAAAAAGAUGUAUGGAAAUGGAGUUGGGGAGUUUGAAGAAUCUGCUUUUGAGUGGUGUCAGCAAAAACUGGGAUUCAUGGUUUUGUACAAUUUACACCAAAGACUAACAAUUGAAUACCUUUACGGUGUUCUUUUUAAAGAAGCAAUGGUGCAAGAAACUUACCAUAUGAGGAAGCAGAUGAGCAAUGAUGUUUGACUGAGUUUGACAGGAAUAAGAAACCACAAAAAUGAACUUAUAGUUAAAACCCUAGAUUUUUUUGGCCAAGGAAUGUCUUAAGCAGAGUACGGGCUGUUGUUACCCUGUAAAAAAAAUGGAUGUUUAUGUCUUGUGAGUCUUUGUUACGACUGAUGACACAUUCAAUUACAUGAUUGUGUUUACCAGCUUUGACAUUGGAAUUUGUUGCAAAUUACCUAUUUCAGUGUAACUAAGCAAGAAAUAGGUAAUUAGGUAAAUGUGGAAUAUAUCUUAACACAUAUUAAAUUUUCUGACUUCUUAAUGAGACCAUCUUCACUAUCCUUUAUAUUAUUUAGUAAGCAUUUGUGUAACAGUAUAAAAUUUAGUAGAUAUAUGUUUGUAUUAAGUUGUGGAAAAUUUUAUAACAAAUGUGAAUCUGCACAUUUGAAAAAUUCUUAUUAAAAUGUAAUAGAGGUAAAACUGCCAGUUUAAUGAAUCCAAAUUUAAAUGAGGUUUUGUAAUAUCAUGUACUCUUAAAUGUUCCAAAAUACUGUUCAUGCUUUAAGUUUGAUAAUUUUAUAUGCUACUUUGAUAUUGAAAUAUGCUACAUAAACACAGAAGAUUGACUGUAUUUCAGUAUGUGUAAUUUUAUUACAAUAAAUUAAACAUUCUCC